This 231-nucleotide ribosomal RNA is filed under the name uncultured bacterium. RNAcentral's name for it is "partial 16S ribosomal RNA". It matches the Rfam family "Bacterial small subunit ribosomal RNA", at positions 118 to 347 of the family's 1533-position model. The record is from RNAcentral.
UGAGCAACCUGCCCUUGACUCUGGAAUAACAGCUGGAAACAGCUGCUAAUACCGGAUACGACCUCCGAUGGCAUCAUCUGGAGGUGGAAAGCUCCGACGGUCAAGGAUGGGCUCGCGGCCUAUCAGCUUGUUGGUGAGGUAACGGCUCACCAAGGCUUCGACGGGUAGCCGGCCUGAGAGGGCCGACCGGCCACACUGGGACUGAGAUACGGCCCAGACCUCGUACGGGGA